CAGCCGCCGCGGGUAAUUCGAAAGGUGCGAGCGUUACUCGGAAUCACUGGGCGUAAAGCGCACGUAGGCGGACUCGUAGGUCAAUUGUGAAAUACCUGGGCUCAACCCGGGAACUGCAGUUGAAACCGCUUGUCUUGAAUACCUGAGAGGGUGGGGGAAUACCUGGUGGAGAAGUGAAAUUCGUAGAGAUCAGGUGGAACACCGGAGGCGAAGGCGCCUGCCUGGCAGUGUAUUGACGCUGGGGUGCGAAAGUGCGGGGAGCAAACAGGAUUAGAUACCCUGGUAGUCCGCACCGUAAACGAUGGAUACUAGGCGUUCGGAGAGUUAACCCUCUGAGUGCCAAAGUUCACACAUUAAGUAUCCCGCCUGGGAAGUACGGUCGCAAGACUAAAACUCAAAUGAAUUGACGG
Molecule: ribosomal RNA, 410 nt
Filed under: uncultured bacterium
Lineage: Bacteria
Description: bacterial SSU rRNA
Rfam family: Bacterial small subunit ribosomal RNA
Source: RNAcentral